RNAcentral lists this unclassified non-coding RNA (844 nucleotides) under Bombus terrestris (buff-tailed bumblebee). RNAcentral describes it as "misc RNA ENSBTSG00005024714.1". The record is from RNAcentral. Lineage: Eukaryota; Metazoa; Arthropoda; Insecta; Hymenoptera; Apidae.
GGAUCGUUUCGCAAGCAAGGAGGACGGGAUACAACUAGCGCGGGACGAGAAACUAUACGUAUAACUAAAAACAUGAAAGCUUAGCGUGGACGCAGAGUUCCCGGUGAACACCGAGAUAAAUAGCAUUGUAAACCGGCCAGGGAUACGAGUACGUUGCUCGUUUACAGGAAUUCCUCAAGUCAUAUAUACCUUAACGCUGCCUUCUAAGCGACGUUCCGAUCGUCGAUCGAGAGUAUCGAUAAGUCGAUCGAUGCCGAAUACCAUCCCGGAGAAAAGCAGGAACGCGAAGUAGAACUAGGAUGAGGGAGGAGGAAGCGAGCGAAGGUCUGAAAGAGAAGAAAAAAUGCGUAGAAGGGGACAAAGAUAUGGAGGAGAUACGGAAGGUGGAAAAAGAGGCGACGAUGAGAAAGAGGAGUAGAAUUAGAAGGAAAAAGUGUGGAGGAAACGUACGCUGCAAGGAGAAGAGAGAAAGGAAGCAAGAGAGAGAGAGAGAGAGAGCGGCGGUAGGGGUAUAGGAAAUAUAUUGAUAUUUAUUUACGACUGGUAAUAAUAAUUGAUCUCUGGACUGCAACUCUAUGGAGGUAAAGGCUGGUACGGCUUAGCAAGGGGACGAAAAAGGAGAAGAAGGCGAAAGAAGGAGCAAGGCGGUGAAUGGAGGAAGAGAAAAGGGGGCAGAGCGAAGCAGGCUCAGGGUCUGGACUGGCCCAGGGCCUUACGACUUCUUUAUUUCGUCCGGCCGUAUAUCAGCUCCAAACGAAAGGGUUAAAGGUGUACGCUCCACUAAAUAAAUUCGCGACCAUCUCCCGUCUUCCAACCCCGUCUUCGUCUGUCCCCCGUUUUCUCU